UACGUAGGGGGCAAGCGUUGUCCGGAUUCAUUGGGCGUAAAGAGCUCGUAGGCGGCUUGGCAAGUCGGGUGUGAAAACUUCAGGCUCAACCUGGAGCGGCCACUCGAUACUGCCAUGGCUAGAGUCCGGUAGGGGACCACGGAAUUCCUGGUGUAGCGGUGAAAUGCGCAGAUAUCGGGAGGAACACCGGUGGCGAAGGCGGAUCUCUGGGCCAUUACUGACGCUGAGGAGCGAAAGCGUGCGGAGCGAACAGG
RNAcentral lists this ribosomal RNA (254 nucleotides) under uncultured bacterium. RNAcentral's name for it is "partial 16S ribosomal RNA". It matches the Rfam family "Bacterial small subunit ribosomal RNA", at positions 524 to 776 of the family's 1533-position model. The record is from RNAcentral.